UAGGGAAUCUUCCACAAUGGACGAAAGUCUGAUGGAGCAACGCCGCGUGAGUGAAGAAGGGUUUCGGCUCGUAAAACUACUGUUGUUAAAGAAGAACAUAUCUGAGAGUAACUGUUCAGGUAUUGACGGUAUUUAACCAGAAAGCCACGGCUAACUACGUGCCA
This 164-nucleotide ribosomal RNA is filed under the name uncultured bacterium. RNAcentral's name for it is "partial 16S ribosomal RNA". It matches the Rfam family "Bacterial small subunit ribosomal RNA", at positions 355 to 510 of the family's 1533-position model. The record is from RNAcentral.